GACGCACGGCGGCUCAAAUUCCUGAGGCGGCCCGAUACGAAAAUUAUCAUCAGGCGUGCGCGACUGGCU
This 69-nucleotide small RNA is filed under the name Sinorhizobium meliloti 2011. RNAcentral's name for it is "putative ncRNA". The record is from RNAcentral. Lineage: Bacteria; Pseudomonadati; Pseudomonadota; Alphaproteobacteria; Hyphomicrobiales; Rhizobiaceae.